AUACUUACCUGGCAGGGGAGAUACCAUGAUCACGAAGGUGGUUUUCCCAGGGCGAGGCUUAUCCAUUGCACUCCGGAUAUGCUGACCCCUGUGAUUUCCCCAAAUGUGGGAAACUCGACUGCAUCAUUUGUGGUAGUGGGGGACUGCAUUUGCGCUUUCCCCUG
This is a small nuclear RNA of Callithrix jacchus (white-tufted-ear marmoset), 164 nucleotides long. Its record names the gene U1. It matches the Rfam family "U1 spliceosomal RNA". From Rfam's summary of the family: U1 is a small nuclear RNA (snRNA) component of the spliceosome (involved in pre-mRNA splicing). Its 5' end forms complementary base pairs with the 5' splice junction, thus defining the 5' donor site of an intron. Lineage: Eukaryota; Metazoa; Chordata; Mammalia; Primates; Cebidae. The record is from Ensembl.